GCCGCUGUAGCUCAGCUUGGUAGAGCGACGGUUUCAUAAGCCGUAGGUCGCGUGUUCAAAUCUACGCCAGCGGCA
Molecule: transfer RNA, 75 nt
Filed under: Candidatus Woesearchaeota archaeon
Lineage: Archaea; Nanobdellati; Candidatus Woesearchaeota
Description: tRNA-Met
Rfam family: tRNA
About the family: Transfer RNA (tRNA) molecules are approximately 80 nucleotides in length. Their secondary structure includes four short double-helical elements and three loops (D, anti-codon, and T loops).
Source: RNAcentral